ACCACCGAGUCCCCCGAGGCCCGCCCUCAGCGUGUCUUAUUCCAUUUUGAAGUCCCUGCCAUGCGGCAACACCUCGGUCACCUCACCACGGGCAUCAAGGGAAGUAGAAGGGUCCCGUUCCGCCAGCAGGGAGCGGCAGAGUUGCUUCUCUCUGAUGACUACAAAGUUGUAAAUGUCUGAGGUGUGGUUGCAUAGCACCUGUAUUUCCCAAGAUGGCUACACAAAUAAAAGAACCAUGGUGGGAUCCAUGGUCUAGCAGGAAACAAGGUUCAUCUCCUUCUGGAAAACAUGGUACCACUGAGACAGAUCAGCCAUGUCCGUGUGAUGAGAACAGACGGAAUUCCAGCUAUCACAGAGAGAAAGACAGGAAUGAAAGGACUGUUGUGCCAAAGCAGUGACUCCCCAAGGAUAUGCAAACAGCAUCCAGAGCGACGUCGCGAUGAGAGUGCAGAGAUGCCCUGGGUUUGAGGCUGCGCUGGACGCCCCAGGUCUGGGAUAAGGCCCAUAAGUGGAGGAAUGCCUCCCUCCCUACGGCCCCCCAGCGCAACCGGCGUCGUCUUCGCGUUUACUGCAGCGCCCAUGAAAUUUUAAUGCAGGAGCGGCUGGCGGGCGGAGUUGCCGCACCCGGCCUCGGGCGUGGGGGUGGGGUGGGGCACACGAACAAGCACCCAUCUUGCGGACCAGGACUCAAGCAAAGAGAUGUGGGGUGCACAUCUCUCCCGCGCCUCACAAAGGGGCUACUGCGAGCCUCAGCCUCAGCAUCCCCCCCCUGCGGCGCUGCCAUAGCAACGCUGGCCAGUGGAGAGGCGCGCGACGGUCGGAGGCGCGAUCGCGGACCUGGCGCCUAAGCGAGAAGCACUGCCUAGAAUCCCAGAAGAGGACCCGGUAUCCGUGCUUGGCUCUCAGGGCCGGGGCGUGGUUGCCGAGGAACUCUGUUAGGAAGAGUCCUGGUCAGGGCGGCGGCAAGAUUCGAACCCAAGUCUGUGGCAGAGGUCUCUAAUUUUGGCAUCUGCUCUGCCUGCACUCCUUGGCACCAUCACGAGCUUUACAGGGAUGCUAAAGAGUCGCUAAAAACCUUGGUUCUGUGAUGCUCCAGACCAGCGCCAUCCACACCUUUGAGACCAUGAUGUAAUUGUCAUCUUCUAAGCCCCAAUAUAGUGCCGCUGGAUCAAAA
This 1174-nucleotide long non-coding RNA is filed under the name Mus musculus (house mouse). RNAcentral describes it as "predicted gene, 26953". Lineage: Eukaryota; Metazoa; Chordata; Mammalia; Rodentia; Muridae. The record is from RNAcentral.